Molecule: microRNA precursor, 92 nt
Filed under: Marmota monax (woodchuck)
Lineage: Eukaryota; Metazoa; Chordata; Mammalia; Rodentia; Sciuridae
Source: RNAcentral
AUUUUCUGCCUGUUAUCAAUAGCUUUUAUAUUCCACGUAAUAUUUCUCUUUGUUUAUGUGGAAUAUAAAAGCUAUUGAUUGCAGAGAGCCAA